This 465-nucleotide ribosomal RNA is filed under the name uncultured bacterium. RNAcentral's name for it is "bacterial SSU rRNA". It matches the Rfam family "Bacterial small subunit ribosomal RNA", at positions 338 to 795 of the family's 1533-position model. The record is from RNAcentral.
CCUACGGGUGGCAGCAGUGGGGAAUGUUGCACAAUGGGCGCAAGCCUGAUGCAGCCAUGCCGCGUGUAUGAAGAAGGCCCUAGGGUUGUAAAGUACUUUCAGUCGGGAGGAAGGCGUUGAUGCUAAUAUCAUCAACGAUCGACGUUACCGACAGAAGAAGCACCGGCUAACUCCGUGCCAGCAGCCGCGGUAAUACGGAGGGUGCAAGCGUUAAUCGGAAUUACUGGGCGUAAAGCGCACGCAGGCGGUUGAUUAAGUUAGAUGUGAAAUCCCCGGGCUUAACCUGGGAAUGGCAUCUAAGACUGGUCAGCUAGAGUCUUGUAGAGGGGGGUAGAAUUCCAUGUGUAGCGGUGAAAUGCGUAGAGAUGUGGAGGAAUACCGGUAGCGAAGGCGGCCCCCUGGACAAAGACUGACGCUCAGGUGCGAAAGCGUGGGGAGCAAACAGGAUUAGAUACCCGUGUAGUC